Long non-coding RNA from Cervus elaphus (red deer), 793 nucleotides. RefSeq lists it as uncharacterized. The transcript is spliced from 3 exons. The record is from RefSeq and is a predicted model, not a curated record. NCBI's taxonomy places the organism in Eukaryota, Metazoa, Chordata, Mammalia, Artiodactyla, Cervidae.
UGCUGGGGGUCACUAAGGAGCUAGCGGAGAGAUAAGAAAAGAAUGAGGAAGCAGUGGUGGGACUGGGCAGGGUGCCUCCACAGAUUCCACCAGUUGGAAAGCCCCUGGGAGGAAUCUCGACCCCUUUUCUCUCUGAGGAGCCCUCCGGGAGGCGGCCUAAAGGUUACAUGGAAGUCUCUCCAGCUGCAAAGCGGAUCCCUUCCAGGAAGUUGAUGCCCGUCAUCUCAACAUCAGAUUGUAUUGGAUGUGUUGAAUAUGGCUUGAAGUAAGGCAGACCCUGAUGCUGGGAAAGAUUGAAGGCAGGAGGAGAAGGGGACGAGAUGGUUGGAUGGCGUCACCAAUUCAAUGGACAUAAGUCUGAGCAAACUCCAUGAGAUGGUGAAGGACAGGGAAGCCUGGCGUGCUGCAGUCCAUGGGGUGCCAUGAUUGAGUGAAUUAACAACAAAGGCUCCACCUGUAGCUUCUAGGUGAUGGAAGGGGUCUUGGCUUCGGGACAUGACAUAUGGCUCGGUGAUUCCUCAAGGGGCAGGUGAAGCUGUCACAUUCCCAUGUGGCAUGGUUCUCAUGUCCUCUGACCCUUCGCCCAUCUCUGGCAGGCUCAGGAGCCACUCUUGGCAUCACCAGACAAGUCACAGAAAGGCAUCCCCGUGGGAACAGGAAGGAAUUGUCUGUUAUUCCAGCCUUCACCACAGCAAAAGGAACCACCAAGGAACACGUGUCUCUCACUGAAAGCCGUGGAGAACUUGGAAUGAGUCCUUGGUUGUGGAAGAGCAAGGAUGUGAGCCUUGGAGCU